AUUGAACGCUGGCGGCAUGCUUUACACAUGCAAGUCGAACGGCAGCACGGGCUUCGGCCUGGUGGCGAGUGGCGAACGGGUGAGUAAUAUAUCGGAACGUACCCAGCAGUGGGGGAUAACGUAGCGAAAGUUACGCUAAUACCGCAUACGAUCUAUGGAUGAAAGCAGGGGACCGCAAGGCCUUGUGCUCCUGGAGCGGCCGACAUCUGAUUAGCUAGUUGGUGAGGUAAAGGCUCACCAAGGCGACGAUCAGUAGCUGGUCUGAGAGGACGACCAGCCACACUGGAGCUGAGACACGGUCCAGACUCCUACGGGAGGCAGCAGUGGGGAAUGUUGGACAAUGGGGGCAAGCCUGAUCCAGCAAUGCCGCGUGAGUGAAGGAGGCCUUCGGGUUGUAAAGCUCUUUUGUCAGGGAAGAAACGGUAGAGGCUAAUAUCCUUUGCUAAUGACGGUACCUGAAGAAUAAGCACCGGCUAACUACGUG
RNAcentral lists this ribosomal RNA (484 nucleotides) under uncultured bacterium. RNAcentral describes it as "partial 16S ribosomal RNA". It matches the Rfam family "Bacterial small subunit ribosomal RNA", at positions 30 to 507 of the family's 1533-position model. The record is from RNAcentral.